This 80-nucleotide small RNA is filed under the name Flavobacterium frigidimaris. RNAcentral describes it as "Flavo-1 RNA". It matches the Rfam family "Flavo-1 RNA". Lineage: Bacteria; Pseudomonadati; Bacteroidota; Flavobacteriia; Flavobacteriales; Flavobacteriaceae. RNAcentral also lists the same sequence under 1 other name. The record is from RNAcentral.
CCCUAGCCCCGAUAGAAGUGGAAAUCCUUUUGCUUUUUUCUUUAAAAAGCAAAAGAUUGAAACGAAUAGCGGGAUUAGCU